UGAGGAAUAUUGGUCAAUGGGCGAGAGCCUGAACCAGCCAAGUAGCGUGCAGGAUGACGGCCCUAUGGGUUGUAAACUGCUUUUAUGUGGGGAUAAAGUGCGUGACGUGUCAUGCAUUGCAGGUACCACAUGAAUAAGGACCGGCUAAUUCCGUGCCAGCAGCCGCGGUAAUACGGAAGGUCCGGGCGUUAUCCGGAUUUAUUGGGUUUAAAGGGAGCGUAGGCUGUCUAUUAAGCGUGUUGUGAAAUAUACCGGCUCAACCGGUGGCUUGCAGCGCGAACUGGUCGACUUGAGUAUGCAGGAAGUAGGCGGAAUUCAUGGUGUAGCGGUGAAAUGCUUAGAUAUCAUGACGAACUCCGAUUGAGCAGGCAGCUUACUGUAGCAUAACUGACGCUGAUGCUCGAAAGUGCGGGUAUCAAACAGG
This 424-nucleotide ribosomal RNA is filed under the name Fusobacteriota bacterium. RNAcentral describes it as "Fusobacteria bacterium partial 16S ribosomal RNA". It matches the Rfam family "Bacterial small subunit ribosomal RNA", at positions 355 to 776 of the family's 1533-position model. Lineage: Bacteria; Fusobacteriati; Fusobacteriota. The record is from RNAcentral.